This 599-nucleotide ribosomal RNA is filed under the name Aureobasidium pullulans. RNAcentral describes it as "eukaryotic LSU rRNA". It matches the Rfam family "Eukaryotic large subunit ribosomal RNA", at positions 68 to 681 of the family's 3401-position model. The record is from RNAcentral. Lineage: Eukaryota; Fungi; Ascomycota; Dothideomycetes; Dothideales; Saccotheciaceae.
ACACGGUUUGCCCUAGUAAACGGCGAGUGAAGCGGCAACAGCUCAAAUUUGAAAGCUAGCCUUCGGGUUCGCAUUGUAAUUUGUAGAGGAUGAUUUGGGGAAGCCGCCUGUCUAAGUUCCUUGGAACAGGACGUCAUAGAGGGAGAGAAUCCCGUAUGUGACAGGAAAUGGCACCCUAUGUAAAUCUCCUUCGACGAGUCGAGUUGUUUGGGAAUGCAGCUCUAAAUGGGAGGUAAAUUUCUUCUAAAGCUAAAUAUUGGCGAGAGACCGAUAGCGCACAAGUAGAGUGAUCGAAAGAUGAAAAGCACUUUGGAAAGAGAGUUAAAAAGCACGUGAAAUUGUUGAAAGGGAAGCGCUUGCAAUCAGACUUGUUUAAACUGUUCGGCCGGUCUUCUGACCGGUUUACUCAGUUUGGACAGGCCAGCAUCAGUUUCGGCGGCCGGAUAAAGGCUCUGGGAAUGUGGCCUCCACUUCGGUGGAGGUGUUAUAGCCCAGGGUGUAAUACGGCCAGCCGGGACUGAGGUCCGCGCUUCGGCUAGGAUGCUGGCGUAAUGGUUGUAAGCGACCCGCUAAAAAAAGGGGGCCCAAAAGGUUCCCAA